This 433-nucleotide ribosomal RNA is filed under the name uncultured bacterium. RNAcentral's name for it is "partial 16S ribosomal RNA". It matches the Rfam family "Bacterial small subunit ribosomal RNA", at positions 29 to 507 of the family's 1533-position model. The record is from RNAcentral.
AACGAACGCUGGCGGCAUGCCUAACACAUGCAAGUCGAACGAGACCUUCGGGUCUAUUGGCGCACGGGUGCGUAACGCGUGGGAACCUGCCCUUAGGUUCGGAAUAACUCCCCGAAAGGGGUGCUAAUACCGGAUAAUGUCUUCGGACCAAAGAUUUAUCGCCUUUGGAUGGGCCCGCGUUGGAUUAGCUAGUUGGUAGGGUAAAAGCCUACCAAGGCGACGAUCCAUAGCUGGUUUGAGAGGAUGAUCAGCCACACUGGGACUGAGACACGGCCCAGACUCCUACGGGAAGCAGCAGUGGGGAAUAUUGGACAAUGGGCGAAAGCCUGAUCCAGCAAUGCCGCGUGAGUGAUGAAGGCCUUAGGGUUGUAAAGCUCUUUUACCCGGGAUGAUAAUGACAGUACCGGGAGAAUAAGCUCCGGCUAACUCCGUG